GGGCCCGCACAAGCGGUGGAGCAUGUGGUUUAAUUCGAUGAUACGCGAGGAACCUUACCAGGGCUUAAAUGUAAGUUGCAUAAAUCAGAGAUGAUUUUUUCUUCGGACUAUUUACAAGGUGCUGCAUGGUUGUCGUCAGCUCGUGCCGUGAGGUGUCAGGUUAAGUCCUAUAACGAGCGCAACCCCUGUCGUUAGUUGCCAUCAAGUAAUGUUGGGUACUCUAGCGAGACUGCCGGUGCAAACCGAGAGGAAGGUGGGGAUGACGUCAAAUCAUCACGGCCCUUACGUCCUGGCUACACACGUGCUACAAUGGCCGGUACAGAGAGCAGCCACUACGCGAGUAG
Molecule: ribosomal RNA, 344 nt
Filed under: uncultured bacterium
Lineage: Bacteria
Description: bacterial SSU rRNA
Rfam family: Bacterial small subunit ribosomal RNA
Source: RNAcentral